AAAGACACCAUUGUUGGGCUAAAUGCUUCCUAAGAAAUGGAUUAGCUAAGUGGCUCUGGCUCAGGGACUCUCAGGAGACUUCAGUCAAGAUGUCAGCUGAGUCUACAGUCAUCUGAAGGCUUGACUGGGGCUGGAGAAUCUGCUUCCAAGAUGGUGCACUCACAUGGCUGGAAUGUCGGUGCCUCAGUUCCUCUCCAGUGGGACUCUCCAAAGGGCUGCUUGAGUGUCCUCACAACACGGCAGCUGGCUUCUCCCAGAACAAGUGAUCCAAGAGGGCAAGGCAGAAGCAGCAAUGUUUCUUAUGACCUAGCACAGGAAGUCACAUAUUAUCAGUUAUGCCUUAUUUUAUUAGUCACAUCAUUCAAUCCUGAUAUGCUGUGGCAAAGGACUGCACAAGGGUGUGAAUACCAGGAGGAGCACUGGGAGCCAUCUUGGAGACUGGUUGCCACAAAUUAUUAACAUAAAUUGCAGACGAAUUAUUUAACAAGAGGGAAUUGGAUUAAAUACCUCUCUAUUCUGGCAAUCAACAUCUGACUACUACCAUUAUUUAAAAAAUUCCAAAUGAGUAAAGCCAAAUUAAGAAUUUGAGCUCUUUCAGGGGGAAAGAUUUAUGAUCAACGUCAAGAUGGAUCAUUAGCACAGGACUAUGGAAGGCCAUGUAUAAUGUGCUUG
This 672-nucleotide long non-coding RNA is filed under the name Equus caballus (horse). RNAcentral's name for it is "lncRNA (ENSECAG00000047545.1)". Lineage: Eukaryota; Metazoa; Chordata; Mammalia; Perissodactyla; Equidae. The record is from RNAcentral.